RNAcentral lists this ribosomal RNA (305 nucleotides) under uncultured bacterium. RNAcentral describes it as "bacterial SSU rRNA". It matches the Rfam family "Bacterial small subunit ribosomal RNA", at positions 21 to 357 of the family's 1533-position model. The record is from RNAcentral.
GGCUCAGAACGAACGCUGGCGGCGUGCUUAACACAUGCAAGUCGAACGAACCUUCGGGUUAGUGGCGGACGGGUGAGUAACGCGUGAGAAUCUGCCCUCAGGAGGGGGAUAACGGUUGGAAACGACCGCUAAUACCCCAUAUGCCGAGAGGUGAAAAGAAAUUCGCCUGAGGAUGAGCUCGCGUCUGAUUAGCUAGUUGGUGUGGUAAUGGCGCAGCAAGGCUUCGAUCAGUAGCUGGUCUGAGAGGAUGAUCAGCCACACUGUGACUGAGACACGGACCAGACUCCUACGGGAGUCCGCAGUGG